Molecule: ribosomal RNA, 1020 nt
Filed under: Arthrinium phaeospermum
Lineage: Eukaryota; Fungi; Ascomycota; Sordariomycetes; Amphisphaeriales; Apiosporaceae
Description: SSU rRNA
Rfam family: Eukaryotic small subunit ribosomal RNA
Source: RNAcentral
CACGCAGUUGUUAGCAAUUAUACCGCGAAACUGCGAAUGGCUCAUUAAAUCAGUUAUCGUUUAUUUGAUAGUACCUUACUACUUGGAUAACCGUGGUAAUUCUAGAGCUAAUACAUGCUAAAAACCCCAACUCACGAAGGGGUGUAUUUAUUAGAUUAAAAACCAAUGCCCUUCGGGGCUUCUUGGUGAUUCAUAAUAACUUCUCGAAUCGCAUGGCCUUGCGCCGGCGAUGGUUCAUUCAAAUUUCUGCCCUAUCAACUUUCGAUGGCAGGGUCUUGGCCUGCCAUGGUUACAACGGGUAACGGAGGGUUAGGGCUCGACCCCGGAGAAGGAGCCUGAGAAACGGCUACUACAUCCAAGGAAGGCAGCAGGCGCGCAAAUUACCCAAUCCCGACUCGGGGAGGUAGUGACAAUAAAUACUGAUACAGGGCUCUUUUGGGUCUUGUAAUUGGAAUGAGUACAAUUUAAAUCCCUUAACGAGGAACAAUUGGAGGGCAAGUCUGGUGCCAGCAGCCGCGGUAAUUCCAGCUCCAAUAGCGUAUAUUAAAGUUGUUGCAGUUAAAAAGCUCGUAGUUGAACCUUGGGCCUGGCUGGCCGGUCCGCCUCACCGCGUGCACUGGUUCGGCCGGGCCUUUCCCUCUGGGGAGCCGCAUGCCCUUCACUGGGUGUGUCGGGGAACCAGGACUUUUACUGUGAAAAAAUUAGAGUGUUCAAAGCAGGCCUAUGCUCGAAUACAUUAGCAUGGAAUAAUAGAAUAGGACGUGUGGUUCUAUUUUGUUGGUUUCUAGGACCGCCGUAAUGAUUAAUAGGGACAGUCGGGGGCGUCAGUAUUCCGUUGUCAGAGGUGAAAUUCUUGGAUUUACGGAAGACUAACUACUGCGAAAGCAUUCGCCAAGGAUGUUUUCUUAAUCAGGAACGAAAGUUAGGGGAUCGAAGACGAUCAAAUACCGUCGUAGUCUUACCAUAACUAUGCCGACAAGGGAUCGGGCGAUGUAUUAUUUGACCCGUCGGACCUACGAA